This 104-nucleotide small nuclear RNA is filed under the name Moschus moschiferus (Siberian musk deer). Lineage: Eukaryota; Metazoa; Chordata; Mammalia; Artiodactyla; Moschidae. The record is from RNAcentral.
GAGCCCACUUUGGCAGCACUUAUACCCAAAGUGGAACGAUACAGAGAUUAGUGUGGCCCCUGAGCAAGGAUGACACGAAAAUUCAUGAACGUCUCCGUACUUUU